CAAUACUGGGAGUGGCGCACGGGUGCGUAACGCGUACACAAUCUACCUCUAAGGCGGGGGACCACCUCCUGGAAACGGGGAUUAAUACCGCAUAAUAUGCCGAGGUCGCAUGACUUUGGUAUUAAAGCAGCAAUGCACUUAGAGAUGAGUGUGCGUCCCAUUAGGUAGUUGGUGAGGUAAACGGGCUCACCAAGCCCUAUGAUGGGUAGCCGGUCUGAGAGGAUGGUCGGCCACACGGGCACUGAGACACGGGCCCGACUCCUACGGGAGGCAGCAGUAAGGAAUAUUGGUCAAUGGUGGAAACACUGAACCAGCCAUGCCGCGUGGAGGAAUAAGGUCCUACGGAUUGUAAACUCCUUUGACGAGGAAGAAAGUGUUAGAUUUAUCUAAUUUUGACGGUACUCGUAGAAUAAGCACCGGCUAACUCCGUG
Molecule: ribosomal RNA, 431 nt
Filed under: uncultured bacterium
Lineage: Bacteria
Description: bacterial SSU rRNA
Rfam family: Bacterial small subunit ribosomal RNA
Source: RNAcentral